RNAcentral lists this small RNA (135 nucleotides) under Desulfosporosinus acidiphilus. Its description in RNAcentral is "c-di-AMP sequence". It matches the Rfam family "c-di-AMP riboswitch aptamer (ydaO/yuaA leader)". From Rfam's summary of the family: This family represents a conserved RNA structure found upstream of the ydaO and yuaA genes in Bacillus subtilis and related genes in other bacteria. The ydaO/yuaA element is thought to act as a genetic "off" switch for the ydaO and yuaA genes in its native state. The record is from RNAcentral. Lineage: Bacteria; Bacillati; Bacillota; Clostridia; Eubacteriales; Desulfitobacteriaceae.
GGAGAAGGAAAGCCGAAUCUAGUGUCGUCUAGAGCGGGGGAUUUUUUUAUGGGGUUAAUCGCAAAUAUUGCGAAGGGCUUACACCUUCUUGCCCGAAUCCGUCAACUAACCUCGUAGGCUGAAAAAGGUGAAGAA